This 56-nucleotide microRNA precursor is filed under the name Tribolium castaneum (red flour beetle). Its description in RNAcentral is "Tca-Mir-252-P2_pre stem-loop". It matches the Rfam family "mir-252 microRNA precursor family", at positions 9 to 70 of the family's 77-position model. Lineage: Eukaryota; Metazoa; Arthropoda; Insecta; Coleoptera; Tenebrionidae. The record is from RNAcentral.
CUAAGUACUAGUGCCGCAGGAGUACAUUCGACCUCCUGCUGCUCAAGUGCUUAUCA